GAUCAUGGCUCAGGAUGAACGCUAGCGACAGGCUUAACACAUGCAAGUCGAGGGGCAGCAUGAACUUAGCUUGCUAAGUUUGAUGGCGACCGGCGCACGGGUGAGUAACGCGUAUGCAACUUACCUAUCAGAGGAGAAUAGCUCAUCGAAAGAUGAAUUAAUGCUCCAUAAAACAGGGGCCCCGCAUGGGGAUAUUUGUUAAAGAUUCAUCGCUGAUAGAUAGG
RNAcentral lists this ribosomal RNA (224 nucleotides) under uncultured bacterium. RNAcentral's name for it is "partial 16S ribosomal RNA". It matches the Rfam family "Bacterial small subunit ribosomal RNA", at positions 15 to 229 of the family's 1533-position model. The record is from RNAcentral.